RNAcentral lists this ribosomal RNA (753 nucleotides) under uncultured bacterium. RNAcentral describes it as "bacterial SSU rRNA". It matches the Rfam family "Bacterial small subunit ribosomal RNA", at positions 54 to 847 of the family's 1533-position model. The record is from RNAcentral.
CAUGCAGUCGUACGAGAGUUUUUAACUCAAGUGGCGGACGGGUGAGUAACACGUAAGAAUUUACCUUUAGGAGGGGGACAACAACGGGAAACUGUUGCUAAUACCCCAUAUGCUUUCGAGUGAAAUGGAUUUAUCCGCCUAGAGAGAGGCUUGCGGCUGAUUAGCUUGUUGGUGAGGUAAUGGCUCACCAAGGCGACGAUCAGUAUCUGGUUUGAGAGGACGAUCAGACACACUGGAACUGAGACACGGUCCAGACUCCUACGGGAGGCAGCAGUGGGGAAUUUUCCGCAAUGGGCGAAAGCCUGACGGAGCAAUACCGCGUGAGGGAUGACGGCCUAUGGGUUGUAAACCUCUUUUUUCAGGGAGGAAUCAAUGACGUGUACCUGAAGAAUAAGCAUCGGCUAACUCCGUGCCAGCAGCCGCGGUAAGACGGAGGAUGCAAGUGUUAUCCGGAAUCACUGGGCGUAAAGCGUCUGUAGGUGGUCAAAUAAGUCAACUGUUAAAUCUUGAGGCUCAACCUCAAAACCGCAGUCGAAACUAUUAGACUAGAGUAUAGUAGGGGUAAAGGGAAUUUCCAGUGGAGCGGUGAAAUGCGUAGAGAUUGGAAGGAACACCGAUGGCGAAGGCACUUUACUGGGCUAUUACUAACACUCAGAGACGAAAGCUAGGGUAGCAAAUGGGAUUAGAUACCCCAGUAGUCCUAGCUGUAAACAAUGGAUACUAGAUGUUGAACAGAUCGACCUGUGCAGUAUC